RNAcentral lists this ribosomal RNA (429 nucleotides) under Chloroflexota bacterium. Its description in RNAcentral is "Chloroflexi bacterium partial 16S ribosomal RNA". It matches the Rfam family "Bacterial small subunit ribosomal RNA", at positions 355 to 776 of the family's 1533-position model. The record is from RNAcentral. Lineage: Bacteria; Bacillati; Chloroflexota.
UGGGGAAUAUUGCACAAUGGGCGCAAGCCUGAUGCAGCCAUGCCGCGUGUAUGAAGAAGGCCUUCGGGUUGUAAAGUACUUUCAGCGGGGAGGAAGGGAGUAAAGUUAAUACCUUUGCUCAUCGACGUUACCCGCAGAAGAAGCACCGGCUAACUCCGUGCCAGCAGCCGCGGUAAUACGGAUGGUGCAAGCGUUAAUCGGAAUUACUGGGCGUAAAGCGCACGCAGGCGGUUUGUUAAGUCAGAUGUGAAAUCCCCGGGCUCAACCUGGGAACUGCAUCUGAUAAUGGAAAGCUUGAGUCUCGUAGAGGGGGGUAGAAUUCCAGGUGUAGCGGUGAAAUGCGUAGAGAUCUGGAGGAAUACCGGUGGCGAAGGCGGCCCCCUGGACGAAGACUGACGCUCAGGUGCGAAAGCGUGGGGAGCAAACAGG